RNAcentral lists this ribosomal RNA (529 nucleotides) under Sclerodermus guani. RNAcentral's name for it is "eukaryotic LSU rRNA". It matches the Rfam family "Eukaryotic large subunit ribosomal RNA", at positions 355 to 664 of the family's 3401-position model. Lineage: Eukaryota; Metazoa; Arthropoda; Insecta; Hymenoptera; Bethylidae. RNAcentral also lists the same sequence under 6 other names. The record is from RNAcentral.
GAGGGAAAGUUGAAAAGAACUUUGAAGAGAGAGUUCAAGAGUACGUGAAACCGUUCAGGGGUAAACCUGAGGAACCCAAAAGAUCGAAUGGGGAGAUUCAUCGUCAGCGACGCUGACUGCACGGUGGCAAGUGAUGCAACGGGGCUUCGGCCUCGGGGUACGCGGCCAUCGCGUAUGUCCGGCGUCGUCGGCGUGCACUUCUCCCCUAGUAGGACGUCGCGACCCGUUGGGUGCCGGUCUAAGGCCCGGGUGGUAGCCUGUCUCGUCGCUUCGGCGAUCCGAGGCAGACCCCCGGUUGCCAGUCGCCGGCUGCCCGGCGGUACUCGCAUGGUAUCGGGCCGCAAAAUCGAACUGCGUCGGGCCCGUCGCAAGCGCGAUCAGUGUUUCACGGAUGUACGGACCCAGUGCCGUCACCGUGCCUGAUCAGCUGUUGGUUUGACGGUGUUCUCCGACUGGCCAUUGAACGAUAAUGAUACCGGUCAGCGACGCUACUGCUUUGGGUAAUCUCAGGACCCGUCUUGAAACACGG